GCCUCUUGGUCGAGCGGUUAAGACACCGCCCUUUCACGGCGGUAACACGGGUUCGAACCCUCUAAGGCGCA
Molecule: transfer RNA, 71 nt
Filed under: Neobacillus sp. PS3-12
Lineage: Bacteria; Bacillati; Bacillota; Bacilli; Caryophanales; Bacillaceae
Description: tRNA-Glu
Rfam family: tRNA
About the family: Transfer RNA (tRNA) molecules are approximately 80 nucleotides in length.
Source: RNAcentral